CGAUCCUUAGCUGGUCUGAGAGGAUGAUCAGCCACACUGGGACUGAGACACGGCCCAGACUCCUACGGGAGGCAGCAGUGGGGAAUCUUGCGCAAUGCGCGAAAGCGUGACGCAGCAACGCCGCGUGGGGGAAGAAGGCCUUCGGGUUGUAAACCCCUUUCAGUUGGGACGAAGCUUCGCCGGUUAAUAGCCGGCUGGAGUGACGGUACCUUCACAAGAAGCCCCGGCUAAC
Molecule: ribosomal RNA, 232 nt
Filed under: Anophryoides haemophila
Lineage: Eukaryota; Ciliophora; Oligohymenophorea; Philasterida; Glauconematidae
Description: partial Bacterial small subunit ribosomal RNA
Rfam family: Bacterial small subunit ribosomal RNA
Source: RNAcentral